This 70-nucleotide ribosomal RNA is filed under the name Conus bandanus. RNAcentral describes it as "partial 28S ribosomal RNA". It matches the Rfam family "Eukaryotic large subunit ribosomal RNA", at positions 1 to 67 of the family's 3401-position model. Lineage: Eukaryota; Metazoa; Mollusca; Gastropoda; Neogastropoda; Conidae. The record is from RNAcentral.
UCCGACCUCAGAUCGGACGAGAUUACCCGCUGAAUUUAAGCAUAUCACUAAGCGGAGGAAAAAGAUACUA